UUAUUUUANCCCGGGUAAUGGAAUAGGACGUGUGGUUCUAUUUUGUUGGUUUCUAGGACCGCNGUAAUGAUUCAUAGGGAUNGUCGGGGGCAUCAGUAUUCAAUUGUCAGAGGUGAAAUUCUCGGAUUUAUUGAAGACUAACUACUGCGAAAGCNUUUGCCAAGGAUGUUUCAUUAUCAGUGAACGAAAGUUAGGGGAUCGAAGACGAUCAGAUACCGUGGUAGUCUUAACCAUAAACUAUGCAGACUAGGGAUCAGGCGAUGUCAUCUUUUUGACUCGCUCGGCACCCUCCGAGAAAUCAAAGUCUAUGGGUUUUGGGGGGAGUAUGGCCGCAAGGCGGAAACUCAAAGAAAGUGACGGAAGGGCACCACCAGGAGUGGAGCNGGCGGCUUAAUUUGACUCAACACGGGGAAACUCACCAGGUCCAGACACCAUAAGACCAGACUCCCCCAAAAAUCCAUCGAGAUUUAUUGGGUGUUGGUGCAUGACCGUUUUUAGUUGAGGAGUGAUUUGUAUCCUUAAUUGGGAUAGCGAACGAGACCUUAACCUGCGGAAUANCCCGGCUAGCUUCCCUGGUCGNUGGUUUAUUAGAGGGAGAAUAGGCCCAAGCCGAGGAAGUGCAGGCAAUAACAGGUCUAAGUUGCCGAAGAUGUUUGGGCCGCACGCGCGUUACACCCACAGAGCCAACGAGUUCAUCACCNUGGUCGAAAGNUCUAUGCAGGCAGUUAACGGGU
Molecule: ribosomal RNA, 734 nt
Filed under: Bulgaria sp.
Lineage: Eukaryota; Fungi; Ascomycota; Leotiomycetes; Phacidiales; Phacidiaceae
Description: bacterial SSU rRNA
Rfam family: Eukaryotic small subunit ribosomal RNA
Source: RNAcentral